UUCAUGAUUUUCAAAUAUACUAAAGAAGCCAUGGGAUGAAAGCAAAAGCUGAUUCCGCUCACAUUUCCAUUACUUAUAUAAACUCUCAUCAUCAUUAACAUAGUUCAAAACACCUACCAAAAAAGGGCGACCACUAGUAUGCGUGGGCUUGUGGUUAAGCGCAGAGGUUGGUCCCGUUGCAUGCCUAGUUCGAGCUUCUGUAAGAAGAGUAAUUAAACAUGUUUCUGUUUAAGGUCAAAGACCGGUUCAAGGCUGAGGAAGAGAUUAAAGCGGAAGGCCUAACUUCUUCGGGAAAAGAAGAAGCAAAAGCUGCAUUAUCAACAGAAAAAUUAUACCUGUUGUUUGUUGUUACUUGUUUUGCCAUAUAGAACGUCUAAACCGAAAAAGAUGGGGUCGAGUUAGAACGGUUUGGCUCGGUUUCUAAGAACCAAACCAUCUUGAGCAAAUAGAUAUUAUUAAUUUAUUAUUUGUUUGGUCCACUUCGGCCAUAGGUAAGUUAAGUUUGAGUUGUUGGGUUUGCAGCCGGUUCACUAGGGUAACAGAUUUAUGUUUAUAAACAUAUAUCCAAAACCAUUAACAAACUUAAUUCGGUUUACUUAGUUCCAAAUUCUUAACCGGAAUACCCAAAAAAUAAACCAAGAAAAAAAAUCAAACUCCAAACCAGCUUGAAUUUUCUUCAUAAGAAAAUCCUCAAGAUAAGGAUAUAUGUAUAGAAAAACUCAUGAUUUAAACUUAAAACCAUACCAAAUCAAACAAAUUAUUAACUUGUUUCUUCAAGUUUGUUUCAGGCUGUUGAUUAAUUUGUCGUGUCUUUCUUUAAUUUGUCAGAUACAGGAACCAAAUUGCUUUUGAUUUCUUACUUCUGUCUGAAUCUCGAAUGAUGAGAAGAAUUAACCAAGUUCAUCGAACAAAGGAGUACAAUACAAUUCAGGUUAGCGUUCUGUCUUUGUUCUGUCUUUAUUUUGUGGUAUAAUUACUCAUUGAUCUUGACUUAAUGAAUAGAUUUAGCUUCGCCGGUAAUUAAUGUUAUGGUUAGCUAGAUGUCACCUCGGUUCAAUUGUGCAUUGAUACUUCUCUCGGUGUAGUGUUGAAUGUGUUAGAUAGAUGUCACCUCGGUUUGGUUGUGCAUUGAUACUUCUCUUGAAUGUAUAAAAAUUCUUUACUCCUCCUCUUUCUUGAAUUCAUUUCUACCCGUCUUCUUCUCCUCUCACUUCCACAUUAUUUCCUUCUCCUCUCUCUUACUUGAUCGUCGUUCGGAGAUGGAUUCCAAUCCAUUUACGCAAACAUCAAACUUUGUUGACUUACUAAAUAGUCAACAAAGUAUCUCCUUUGGGAACUAUGAAGAUAGUGUUGAUCUAUCUUCAUCUCAACUUCCUUCUGUAGGUACAGAUGAUCCUGGUGAGCGUCAGGAACGAAGGAAGUGGACUCCCACGGAUGAUGUUGUUCUGAUCAGCUCGUGGCUUAACACGAGCAAGGAUCCAGUUGUUGGCAACGAGUAAAAGUCAGGUGCAUUCUGGAAGAGAAUCGUAGCCUACUAUGCAGCAAGUCCGAAGAUGGCUGGCUGCGAACAGAGAGAGGCUUCUCAUUGUAAGCAGCGUUGGCACAAGAUGAACGACUUGGUCUGUAAGUUCUGUGGCGCGUACGAGGCGGCAACUAGAGAGAAAACUAGCGGUUGCAAUGAGAAUGAUGUCCUCAAAAGAGCUCUUGAGAUAUUCUACAAUAACCACAAGAAGAAAUUCACUCUAGAGCAUGCUUGGAAUGAGUUAAGGAACGACUAGAAGUGGUGUGAUGGUUCUACUGCUAAAAUCGAUGGGAGCGGUAAGAAGAGGAAGUGUGCUGACGGUGCCGAUUCAUCGAGUUCACAAGGAACUGAUACCAAGCGUCCUGCGGGUGUAAAGGCUGCAAAGGCCCGUGGAAAGAAGACUUUGGUAGAGGAGAAUUCACUAAAUGACUUUCAGUUUAUGUGGGACAUUAAGCAGAUGGACUUAGCACAGAAGGAAAGGUUGUCGAAGCUGAGUCUACUUGACUUUCUUAUUGCAAAGAAAGAACCUCUAGCUGAGUAUGAAGAGGCCCUUAAGAAGAAGCUCAUCAGUGAAGACAUGUGAAGACAUUGGGAGUGGUUGUGUGACGGAGUGAUUGGAGUCUUGUGUCACGGAGUGUUGUAUUGUACCAGUCUAUGGAGUCUUGUGUGUUGUUGUAUUGUCUAAGUCUUUCGAGUCUUGUCUCUUGUUGUAUUGUAUCAGUCACGGAGUGUCACGGGUCUUGUUCUGUUUUGUCACGAGUCUUGUUGUAUUUUGUUGUGUAGUCUUGACCUCACCAAGUAAUGUUCUAUAUAUUAAGCGAUGUUGUCUA
Long non-coding RNA from Brassica napus (rape), 2352 nucleotides. RefSeq lists it as uncharacterized. The transcript has 2 exons. NCBI's taxonomy places the organism in Eukaryota, Viridiplantae, Streptophyta, Magnoliopsida, Brassicales, Brassicaceae. The record is from RefSeq and is a predicted model, not a curated record.